CUAACACAUGCAAGUCGAACGGUAACAGGAAGAAGCUUGCUUCUUUGCUGACGAGUGGCGGACGGGUGAGUAAUGUCUGGGAAACUGCCUGAUGGAGGGGGAUAACUACUGGAAACGGUAGCUAAUACCGCAUAACGUCGCAAGACCAAAAAGGGGGACCUUCGGGCCUCUUGCCAUCGGAUGUGCCCAGAUGGGAUUAGCUAGUAGGUGGGGUAACGGCUCACCUAGGCGACGAUCCCUAGCUGGUCUGAGAGGAUGACCAGCCACACUGGAACUGAGACACGGUCCAGACUCCUACGGGAGGCAGCAGUGGGGAAUAUUGCACAAUGGGCGCAAGCCUGAUGCAGCCAUGCCGCGUGUAUGAAGAAGGCCUUCGGGUUGUAAAGUACUUUCAGCGGGGAGGAAGGGAGUAAAGUUAAUACCUUUGCUCAUUGACGUUACCCGCAGAAGAAGCACCGGCUAACUCCGUGCCAGCAGCCGCGGUAAUACGGAGGGUGCAAGCGUUAAUCGG
RNAcentral lists this ribosomal RNA (511 nucleotides) under uncultured Pseudomonadota bacterium. Its description in RNAcentral is "bacterial SSU rRNA". It matches the Rfam family "Bacterial small subunit ribosomal RNA", at positions 48 to 548 of the family's 1533-position model. The record is from RNAcentral. Lineage: Bacteria; Pseudomonadati; Pseudomonadota.